Papio anubis (olive baboon) is the source of this 148-nucleotide unclassified non-coding RNA. It matches the Rfam family "Metazoan signal recognition particle RNA". From Rfam's summary of the family: The signal recognition particle (SRP) is a universally conserved ribonucleoprotein. It is involved in the co-translational targeting of proteins to membranes. The record is from Ensembl. NCBI's taxonomy places the organism in Eukaryota, Metazoa, Chordata, Mammalia, Primates, Cercopithecidae.
GCCGGGUGUGGUGUUGCGUACCUGUAAUCCCAGCUACUCAGGAGGCUGAGGCAGGAGAAUCACUUGAACCCAGGAGUCAGAGGUUGCAGUGAGCCGAGAUCACGCCACUGCACUCCAGCCUGGAUGACAGAAUGAGACCCUGUCUCAA